UACGUAGGUGGCAAGCGUUGUCCGGAUUUAUUGGGUUUAAAGGGUGCGUAGGCGGUUUUUUAAGUCAGUGCUGAAAUACUCCAGCUUAACUGGAGGGGGUGGCAUUGAUACUGGAAGACUUGAGUACAGAUGAGGUAGGCGGAAUUGACGGUGUAGCGGUGAAAUGCAUAGAUAUCGUCAAGAACACCGAUAGCGAAGGCAGCUUACUGGGCUGUAACUGACGCUGAUGCACGAAAGUGUGGGGAUCAAACAGG
Molecule: ribosomal RNA, 254 nt
Filed under: uncultured bacterium
Lineage: Bacteria
Description: partial 16S ribosomal RNA
Rfam family: Bacterial small subunit ribosomal RNA
Source: RNAcentral